Long non-coding RNA from Callithrix jacchus (white-tufted-ear marmoset), 2033 nucleotides. NCBI's taxonomy places the organism in Eukaryota, Metazoa, Chordata, Mammalia, Primates, Cebidae. The record is from Ensembl.
CAAUAACCAUCAUUAUUCCUUCUGAUGUUAGAAUCAUAGAUUUCACCAGUGAGAACCCUUUCAAGCCAUCUCCUGUGUCAUUUUGAUAUGUUCUCAUCAGUCUUCAAGUGCUUUUUGGCUUUUUCGUACAAGAUAUUUCAAGCUCACUUGUAUGUUAUCUGCCCAUAUAUAGCGUCAGCUAUUUUUUCCAAUGAACCUUGGUUACUUGUAGUAGGUAACUGUAUUUAGAAACUAAUACCUUGGCAUUAGAUAUACUCAUUGCUGCUGGUGUGUCAUAUUAAUUGCUACUGGGGUGUCAUUACCUCCUUUCUGUGGACAGACCUAGCAAGGUUUGUCUUAGGAAAUCAUGAGUUCAUACUAAAACUUCUGAUUCGAAUUCAUCACAACAGGUUUCUUCAGGAUUCUCUUAACUUUCUCAGAUUCAUAUUUCUAUCUCCUUUCUUCUAUAGUGAGAACUCUGGUUCCAAACAAAAAUUCAUUUGCUCAUUUGUUCUAACCAUGCAGUAUAUAUGCACGUGGUGUGUGUGUGUGUGUGUGUGUGUGUGUGUGUGUGUGAGAGAGAGAGAGAGAGUUUUAGAAUUUACUUCUCCAGUAACAUUAUCAAUAACAAAGAUUAUAUUUAGGCUUUCUGGUCAGAAUCAAAUGAUGACGUUUGUUAAAAAAACAGAUUUCUGUGCUUGCCCCUAGCCUGCCAAAACAGAAUACUUGGGAAUAGGUCCCUUUAGUCCUCAUUUAAAAAAAUUAACACUCCAGGUGAUUUAUAAGAACUCUGAUGUUUGAGAUUUGAUGAUGUCAUGACGAGGAGCUUGAGCUUUAGAAAAGAAGGGGAUAAUCCCUUUUUCAGAGCACAUCUCAUUUCCAAGUGGCUGUUGCGCUGCUGUUUGCCCCCACUCCUUCAGUGCGACAGCCUCAGAGCUGGUGGAAAGACUGCAUGCCACUGGAUAAAUUCGUAGAUGUGGAAUUCCUGGAUCAAAUGAUACUAAGGGAGACUUCCCUGGAAGCAGACUUGUAUCCGCAGUGUACAAACUUACCCUGUAAUGCACACAAUGACCAGAUAACACAAACACACAUUUAUCCCCACAGCAUACAGACUCUUGUCACAGUACACAGACUUGCUUUCCAGUACACAGACAUAUCCAAAGGCACACUGACAAGCACCACAGCAAAAAGACUUUCCCCAGAGCACACAGACACUCCCAUUGCAUGUAUCAAUAGACUCUCCCAGAGGCACCUAUAUUCUCCUUAAUGCAGAGACUCACCUAAGGCACACUGAUGCACCCAGCAUGACACAGACUUGCCCCCCCAUAAGGACUCCACCAUGGCACACAAACAAUGCCAACAUCACAUACUGUUCCCACAUCACACAAACACUUUCUAGGAAACACAAAGCCUACAGACUUACCCCAUAGAAUACAGCUUCCCCCAUAAGACACAUAUUCUCAAGGCCAAUAGACUCACUCUACAGCACACAGACUUUCUCCGGAGCAUACAGCUUCUUCCUACAGCAAACAGACUCUUCCCAGUGCACACAGACUCCCCUGACAUCACACACUCUCACCAUAGAUCAUAGACUCAUCCUAGAGCACAGGGACUUUUGCCAAUGAAACAGACUUUCCCCGAGAACAGACUCAUGAGACAGCUUGAAGACCCACAUCAUGAUACAAAGACUCCCACAACGGGCAUACUUACCCCAUUGUGUACAGACAAGCACCACAGGCCACAGAGCCCACAGCACACAGACUCACCCAACACUACACAGACAUUUCCCAGAGCACAUAGACUCACCCCACAAGCAGACUAAACCCAUACUACAGAGACUCUCCCUAUAGCUUUCAGGCAAGCUUACCACACCACAUAGAAAUGCAACAAGACAUCUUACAGCAUAUAUCACUCCUUGAUGCACAGAAUUGUGCAACAGCACACAAACUUGUUCUACAGUGCACGAAUUCAUGUCACAAAAGACAUACUUACCACAUAAUACAAAUACUUGCUCCAGAGUACACUCAUUUGCCCUAAACUAUCUGGACCUUCCC